UGCAGAUUCAAUCAGUCCAGUUUCCAGCAUUUCUCUUCUCCCUACAGAGAGUCAGAAUAUGAGGAGAAAGAGCAAAAACAACAGAGUUUCAGAUCCUCCUUUGAGCAGCUGCAGCAUCAGUUCAGUCACUGUGACUCUGACUGACACAGGUUUUUGUACCACGCUUUAUCACUGUGUGAACACACGUUUACUGUUGAUGUUGUGGUAACUCUGACAGUAAUAAUGUCCAGCAUCUUCAGUCUGGACUCCACUGAUGGUCAGAGUGAAAUCAGUCCCACCUGACUCUCCAUUCCCACUGAAUCGACUGAAACUCUCAUCAUAGAGAUCGUUUACACCAUAAAUGAUGAGUUUAGGAGCUUCUCCAGGUUUCUGCUGAUACCAAGCUAAACCCCAGCUAGUUAUUCCAGGAUCAGUUUUACACUCUAUCGUGGCGUCUUGUCGUUCAGAAACAGUCACAGCUUCAGGCUGAGUCACAGUGAUUCCUCUGGAUGCUGCUG
This is a long non-coding RNA of Carassius gibelio (silver crucian carp), 497 nucleotides long. RefSeq lists it as uncharacterized. The transcript has 3 exons. The record is from RefSeq and is a predicted model, not a curated record. Lineage: Eukaryota; Metazoa; Chordata; Actinopteri; Cypriniformes; Cyprinidae.